AGUGAACGCUGGCGGUAGGCCUAACACAUGCAAGUCGAACGGCAGCACAGGAGAGCUUGCUCUCUGGGUGGCGAGUGGCGGACGGGUGAGGAAUACAUCGGAAUCUACUCUGUCGUGGGGGAUAACGUAGGGAAACUUACGCUAAUACCGCAUACGACCUACGGGUGAAAGCGGGGGGUCUUCGGACCUUGCGCGAUUGAAUGAGCCGAUGUCGGAUUAGCUAGUUGGCGGGGUAAAGGCCCACCAAGGCGACGAUCCGUAGCUGGUCUGAGAGGAUGAUCAGCCACACUGGAACUGAGACACGGUCCAGACUCCUACGGGAGGCAGCAGUGGGGAAUAUUGGACAAUGGGCGCAAGCCUGAUCCAGCCAUACCGCGUGGGUGAAGAAGGCCUUCGGGUUGUAAAGCCCUUUUGUUGGGAAAGAAAUCCAGCUGGCUAAUACCCGGUUGGGAUGACGGUACCCAAAGAAUAAGCACCGGCUAACUUCGUGCCAGCAGCCGCCGUAA
Molecule: ribosomal RNA, 506 nt
Filed under: uncultured bacterium
Lineage: Bacteria
Description: partial 16S ribosomal RNA
Rfam family: Bacterial small subunit ribosomal RNA
Source: RNAcentral